GCCAGUGGUUGCUCAGCCGUGGUACGGGACGGUGCUGCAGUCGGGCGCGGUGUGUUCGGCGUCGCGGAGCUCGGCCUUAGAUCGGCCGCUGGGUCACGAGUGAUUUUCUCGUGUUAUUCGAGUGUGUAGUGAAACUAGUCCUGGCGGUGAUGCAAGAGUAGUCACCUCAUUUUGCAGAUAUAUUGUAUUUAUUUAUUUUUUGUUUGGAAUUUUUUAUUUUUCAUUCUUGCAAAUCAUGAAAAGUCGCACUGACUAACCGCAAAAAUGUGAAGUCGAAAAACAAAGAUUCCGGAGUUACAAUGUGGGGCGUGUGUCCCGAUUGAGCGGGUAUGCGCUUAAAAACUAUUAUGAUCUAUUACGAUACCUUGCCAGUGAACAAUUAGAUUUUCUAUUGUGAUCAAGAGCAAAACUAGAGAUGAGCAUGGAAUGGUUACGAUGGUGCUGCGUCGCCCUCCUCGUGCUUCAGUGGGCAGUUAAUGAGCCUCUAUCGCGAUGACGUCAGAGUGAAGGUAACGGUGUCGAGGCGAUGAUACUGACAAAGCGGCGGUAACGAAGUCAUCAGCAAGUAGACGAGGCCGGAGUCGAAAACGCGAAAAGAUAAUGACGUCAUCGCGGGAACUGCGGCGUCGGUGUCUAGCGAAGGAGCCAAGGCCAUCCUCUCUAAGAAUUGUUUCGCUUUGUAUAAAUUUAUGGGCGGCAUUAUGAUAAUGGCGGCGUCGUGGAUGUAAAUUUCUUCAGCACAAUAAAAUGUUCGGCUCGAGA
This is a long non-coding RNA of Penaeus chinensis, 762 nucleotides long. RefSeq lists it as uncharacterized. The record is from RefSeq and is a predicted model, not a curated record. NCBI's taxonomy places the organism in Eukaryota, Metazoa, Arthropoda, Malacostraca, Decapoda, Penaeidae. The transcript has 2 exons.